RNAcentral lists this ribosomal RNA (253 nucleotides) under uncultured prokaryote. RNAcentral describes it as "partial 16S ribosomal RNA". It matches the Rfam family "Bacterial small subunit ribosomal RNA", at positions 525 to 777 of the family's 1533-position model. The record is from RNAcentral.
ACGAACCGAGCGAACGUUGUUCGGAAUCACUGGGCUUAAAGGGCGCGUAGGUGGGUGUUCAAGUCUGUGGUGAAAUCCUCCGGCUCGACCGGAGAAUUGCCUCGGAUACUGAAUGUCUCGAGGGUGAUAGGGGUAUGCGGAACUAUCGGUGGAGCGGUGAAAUGCGUUGAUAUCGAUAGGAACUCCGGUGGCGAAGGCGGCAUACUGGAUCACUUCUGACGCUGAGGCGCGAAAGCCAGGGGAGCAAACGGGA